This 30-nucleotide non-coding RNA is filed under the name Homo sapiens (human). Lineage: Eukaryota; Metazoa; Chordata; Mammalia; Primates; Hominidae. The record is from RNAcentral.
UGCCAGGAUGUUGCCAAAGCCUGCCACGCC